Molecule: ribosomal RNA, 303 nt
Filed under: uncultured bacterium
Lineage: Bacteria
Description: partial 16S ribosomal RNA
Rfam family: Bacterial small subunit ribosomal RNA
Source: RNAcentral
AGCAGCCGCCGCGGUAAUACGGAGGAUCCAAGCGUUAUCCGGAAUUAUUGGGUUUAAAGGGUGCGUAGGCGGCAUGCUAAGUCAGGGGUGAAAGACGGUGGCUCAACCAUCGCAGUGCCUUUGAUACUGGUGUGCUUGAAUGUACAUGAGGUAGGCGGAAUGAGACAAGUAGCGGUGAAAUGCAUAGAUAUGCCACAGAACACCGAUUGCGAAGGCAGCUUACCAAGGCAAAAUUGACGCUGAGGCACGAAAGCGUGGGGAUCGAACAGGAUUAGAUACCCGUGUAGUCCCUGUCUCUUAUAC